This 930-nucleotide ribosomal RNA is filed under the name unidentified. RNAcentral describes it as "bacterial SSU rRNA". It matches the Rfam family "Bacterial small subunit ribosomal RNA", at positions 47 to 958 of the family's 1533-position model. The record is from RNAcentral.
NGCUAUACAUGCAAGUCGAGCGGACAGAAGGGAGCUUGCUCCCGGAUGUUAGCGGCGGACGGGUGAGUAACACGUGGGUAACCUGCCUGUAAGACUGGGAUAACUCCGGGAAACCGGAGCUAAUACCGGAUAGUUCCUUGAACCGCAUGGUUCAAGGAUGAAAGACGGUUUCGGCUGUCACUUACAGAUGGACCCGCGGCGCAUUAGCUAGUUGGUGAGGUAACGGCUCACCAAGGCGACGAUGCGUAGCCGACCUGAGAGGGUGAUCGGCCACACUGGGACUGAGACACGGCCCAGACUCCUACGGGAGGCAGCAGUAGGGAAUCUUCCGCAAUGGACGAAAGUCUGACGGAGCAACGCCGCGUGAGUGAUGAAGGUUUUCGGAUCGUAAAGCUCUGUUGUUAGGGAAGAACAAGUGCAAGAGUAACUGCUUGCACCUUGACGGUACCUAACCAGAAAGCCACGGCUAACUACGUGCCAGCAGCCGCGGUAAUACGUAGGUGGCAAGCGUUGUCCGGAAUUAUUGGGCGUAAAGGGCUCGCAGGCGGUUUCUUAAGUCUGAUGUGAAAGCCCCCGGCUCAACCGGGGAGGGUCAUUGGAAACUGGGAAACUUGAGUGCAGAAGAGGAGAGUGGAAUUCCACGUGUAGCGGUGAAAUGCGUAGAGAUGUGGAGGAACACCAGUGGCGAAGGCGACUCUCUGGUCUGUAACUGACGCUGAGGAGCGAAAGCGUGGGGAGCGAACAGGAUUAGAUACCCUGGUAGUCCACGCCGUAAACGAUGAGUGCUAAGUGUUAGGGGGUUUCCGCCUCUUAGUGCUGCAGCUAACGCAUUAAGCACUCCGCCUGGGGGAGUACGGUCGCAAGACUGAAACUCAAAGGAAUUGACGGGGGCCCGCACAAGCGGUGGAGCAUGUUGNUUAAUUCGAAGCA